Long non-coding RNA from Alnus glutinosa, 1038 nucleotides. RefSeq lists it as uncharacterized. NCBI's taxonomy places the organism in Eukaryota, Viridiplantae, Streptophyta, Magnoliopsida, Fagales, Betulaceae. The record is from RefSeq and is a predicted model, not a curated record. The transcript is spliced from 3 exons.
UCUUACUUUUUCAUUUCUUCUUCCUCGUUCUUCUGCCGAGCGACCCACAGAGACAGUAAUAGAGAGAGUGUGAGAAAUCGAGUGAGAGAGAGAUGCGAGAGAGUGGGAGAUAAGGGAUUGAGAGGGAGACCGAGAGAUGCUGAGAGAGAGAUGAGAUCGGGAGACUUGAGGGAGAUGGAGUCCGAUCCCCCUAUGGGUGGCGCCGACGAGACCAGAGGACGCCGGCGACGCGAUCUCCGGUGAGCCCGUGAACCAGAGAUGACCCGGGAGAGAAAGAACCCGAAACCCGUAGAAACCGUGACCCACGACCCGUGAGGACCCGAUCCUCCAUGAUCCGCGACUGGGACUGAAAUCCGGCGAUGGAGGAGCUCCGGCGGAAUCCGAGGGCUUGAACCCGCGACCCGUGAGCCCAGAAAACCCGAGGACCAGUGACCGUGACCCGUGCGACCCGUGACCCGCCUGACCCGAGAAGAAAACCCGGUUCUCUAUGGGUGUUUCUCGGCGACUGUCAGUGGUGUUUUCCGGCGGUCCAGUAGCGAUUUCCGAUGGAUUUUCUAGGAAAAUCCUCUAGGAUCAUGUUCAGAUUGGAGACUUUAAUUGGUUCUCCAAUGUAGAGUCCAAGUGACUAGAGUCCAAGGAGUGUUCGAGUUGGAGUCUAAUGCAGCCAAGAUGAUGUUUCUUUGGCUGCAGGUACUACGGUAUAAUCGAUGGGUCGGUAGCAGUGUGCUUGAGAUAUUAUGACUGAAGCUCACCGCGACGGUUGUAAUUGUCGGACCACGGGUUGUCCACUGUUUUAUAGGUUUGGUAUAGCUUGUGACGUUUGUGUCACAUAUUCUUUGUAAAGCUAUAGUAGUUUUGUAAAUAAUGUGUUAAUAAGACUCAUACAGAUAGAUGUUAAAUGGCUCUUUGUGGUAAUUAAUUUGUAAUAGAUGUAUAAGUUGUAAUUUUCGCUGUUCAGAUUUAUGUUUUCCGCUGCAUAGAUAGAUGUAUGUUAUACUCUGAUUAUCAGGUACAUGUUAUGGGGCAUGUGUCAUAUGU